Long non-coding RNA from Camellia sinensis, 1577 nucleotides. RefSeq lists it as uncharacterized. Lineage: Eukaryota; Viridiplantae; Streptophyta; Magnoliopsida; Ericales; Theaceae. The record is from RefSeq and is a predicted model, not a curated record.
ACUCUCUUAAUCCAGAACCUUCUCAUUGACCUGCCUCACUUCUUUUCUUUGAAGAACAAACGUCUCUCUCUCUCUCUCUCUCUCUCGCUCGCUCCAUUGUUCUCUCUUGUCUCUUCCCCAGAACCCACUACCACAAAAUGGACUAUUACCAAAAGAACCCCAACAUUUCUUUCUCUUUCUCUUCAUCUUGGUCUUUCACAGUCGACAUCUCACCCCCUCUUCUCUUCAUCUCUUUUGUCUCUCUCCCGUGACAUCAAUUGACGAGAUCAAAGAUCACAAACCCCUCUUCACAUAUCACAAAGAAGAUGAAAACGAAGAUCAUAGAUCAGGAAGACAUUUCGCAGAUCGCAAAUCAAAGAGCCUUCUUCGUAGAUCGCAUAUCACAAACCCAAACUUUUAAUGCAUAUUGAAAUUCAGGAAACACAAAAAUGUACAAAGAUUUGAAACAGAAUUUUUGGUGGCUUGGUAUAAAGAAGUGUAUUGCUAAUUAUGUAGCCACGUGUUUGCACUACCAACAAGUGAAAGCUGAACAUCAACCACCGACUGGACUGCUUCAGCCACUUCCAAUACUAGAAUGGAAAUUGGAGCAUAUUACAAUGGACUUCAUUGUUGGACUGCCUUGCUUCUCUCAAGGUGAUCAAACACGGGAACAGGCCUAAGUUGCUAGCCUAGAGUUUUGUUUUGUCAAGCCAGCCACUGUACCUCCCGAGGAGGUUCCCAAGUGUUUCAAAUGCUCAAGUCUAGCGCACGUGAUGCACUGGAUCGGAGUUAGGAGUGUCGGGUUAGCUCUCGUUUUGUCAAGUCAACCGUUGUGCCUCACUGUAAGGUUCCAAGUCGUUUCAAGCUAGGGCUGGUUUGGGGUGUUUUAGAUUUCCCCUUUUGCCUCUGUUCUGUAAUAAAUGUUGAGACUUACACUGUACUGUUAUGUUAGGGAUUUGGUCCCUAACCUGAAUGUCUGUAUAUGAUGUAUGUAUAUACUGUUUUGGUUUGAAUGUGAAUAUGUUCAGGAAACUCUUAUUGCAUUCAAAAUGUCACAGCUCAUUGGACACCUUUUAUUUACUGUUUUGGCUUCCGCCAGCCCCUGUACUCUGUAUUACUGUCUUGACUGUUAAACAAGCUUUCGGUAAUCACGGAUUACUGGCCGGUUACGGUGCUAAAACCAUAGUGGCGGGUUUGGGUCGUGACAAUAUGUUUCAGAGGCCUUCGGUAAUCUUAGGAUUACUGACCGGUUACGAUCCUAAACUUAUAGGGGUGAGUUUAGGUCAUGACAGAGGGAAGGAAUGAAAGAAAGCAAUUAGUUUUGGGUGAGCUGGCAAAUUUGGCAGCUGCCAAAGCUUAUGACAAAUUUGGCACAAGAUUUGACAAAUGCCAAAUUUAACAGCCGCUAUAUUAUGCCAUUGAAGAACCCAUUUUGCCCUAAGCUGCCAUAUUUUGGCAAUAGCAGGUGUUUUAGCAAUCCGUUGGAAAUGCUCUAACUAAUUUGUUUUGCUCUGAUAUAGUCAACUCUUGAAAAAAUGAGAUUAACCUAGGAGAUAGAGAGAUCAAAUUUGUUGAGGAUUGGUUUGAAUAUAGAUUAU